Molecule: ribosomal RNA, 540 nt
Filed under: Atya gabonensis
Lineage: Eukaryota; Metazoa; Arthropoda; Malacostraca; Decapoda; Atyidae
Description: Atyopsis gabonensis partial 16S ribosomal RNA
Rfam family: Bacterial large subunit ribosomal RNA
Source: RNAcentral
GUCUGUGCGGAUAAAUUGUACAGUCUGACCUGCCCCCUGACGAGUGUUAAAGGGCUGCGGUAUCUCGACCGUGCUAAGGUAGCAUAAUCAAUAGUCUUUUAAUUGAGGUCUAGUAUGAACGGUUGGACAGGAGGUGAGCUGUCUUAAGUAUGUAUUUUGAAUUUUACUUUUAAGUGAGAAGGCUUAAAUUUUGUGGGGGGACGAUAAGACCCUAUAAAGCUUUACUUGUUAGCUUUUAAUUUUAAAAGAUUUAGGUGGUUUAGAUUUUGGGGGCUAAUUAGUUUCGUUGGGGCGACGGGAAUAUAAAUUGUAACUGUUUUUGACGGUAAAACAAAUAUUUUUGGAUAAUUUGAUCCUUUAUAGAGAUUAAAAGAUUAAAGUUACUUUAGGGAUAACAGCGUAAUUUUUUUUGAGAGUUCAUAUCGACAAAAAUAGUUGCGACCUCGAUGUUGAAUUAAGGUGCCGUCAAGGUGUAGCAGUUUUGACAGUGAGUCUGUUCGACUUUUAAAACCUUACAUGAUUUGAGUUCAGACCGGCGUG